Long non-coding RNA from Passer domesticus (house sparrow), 3604 nucleotides. RefSeq lists it as uncharacterized. The transcript is spliced from 2 exons. NCBI's taxonomy places the organism in Eukaryota, Metazoa, Chordata, Aves, Passeriformes, Passeridae. The record is from RefSeq and is a predicted model, not a curated record.
GUGCACCAGCUCCAUGCUUGGCAUUCUGCAGUUGCCAUGGAAACCAAAGAUGUUGACAGCGCUGCCAGGCCUGGGGGUCAGCAUGGGGCCUGUCCCAGUGGAGCUGCCGUGUUCUGGGCUUGAAGUGACAGCUCGCCUGCUGACGGGAAGGUUUGGCUCUGCUGAUGUCAGAGGGGAGCAAGCACAGCAGCACACACUGUUUAUGCUUCUGUGAUGUUUAACUGACAGAAUCAAUCUUCGCUGCUCAGCACUUCCACGGUAUGUAUCACUUUCCUAUUUUGUCCUUAGAGAAAUCCCAGGCAGCAUCGGCGAGCUGCCUUAAACCACCAUUAGAUUGAAAUAAAAGGAAGAAGAACCCCAGUCCUUCACAGAUUUACAAAGCUAUAAGCAAUGAACAAGUGAUGCCCCAUUUUCCAAAGCCCCUCGUGCCGGCUCCAAGUCAGAAACCAGCCACUGAUAACUCAUACAGCACGGAUGUGACAAACAGGAGGGAAGCAGCCAUCUAUCACGGCAGCUCCCGAAGCCUUCCAAUAAAACAAAGUGCCAAAUGGAAUUCUAAACCACUGCUGGUGCUUUCAUGCCUCUGGGAAGCCACAGCAUAAAUAACAGGGCUGAAGGGCUCUGAUCUGGGUGCGUGCAGACCAGUCUGUGCUGCUGCAGAGAGGAAUCUGUGCUCAAGCCUUCAGGGAGCCUCCACAGCAAAGCUCCGUCUGUUGCUGGAAGGAUGCUCUAGUUUGAGGAGGGACCAUUUCAGCUUUUCAGAAGAGCCUGAGUGCCACUGAAUCACCACAAUCUUGUUUUUUCUCCUCUCCUUUGGCUUUUAUUCAUAUGUUAGUGUUCCCUUUGCUAUUAAGGCUAAAGCAAGGAUCGAUGAGGUCCAUAUGCUCCCAGCUCUGUUGCAGGAGCCCAGGACUAAUUCCGAUCUUGAGCCUGUCUUUGGGCCAUCUGUUCGCAGCAUCACACACGACAACAUGUCAUUAUGGCCGAGAAUUUGCAUAACCACUGUGGAGGAAUUGUGUCCAACUCCAUUCACACCAGCCACAAUGGGUUUUCUCACACUGUAGGAAGAGGCUGGAAAAACGAGAAGCCAAUGAGCAUCACAUCCACGUUUCCUAGGAGGGGCCCAGCCAAAGAGCAGACUGAGGAUCCAAGGCACCCCUUUGAGCUGCUUGGGCACCAGCAAUGUCAACAUCCUCCACCUGCUCAUCCCCUCAUCCCACUUCCAGCUGUGAUCUGACACGCAGCAGCAAAGCUGUGCUGCAGGGCUGAGUGCCGGUGCCUCCAGCCUACCUGCACACCACUUUCUCCACAAGGUUAACACAUUAAUUCUCCCAACUGUGACAUCAAAGGCUUAAAUUACAGCUCAUGCUGUGGAAGGCUUGGAGCCACACGGUGCUCACUGCAGCUCUGGGCCCUCUCCUUCCAUUUUGGCUGCAGAGAAACGAUGCCAGCAAAAGAGAGUGGGGGCUGGAACCCUCCAGCAGACUCAGAUCUCAGGCAGCAGCCCUGGCUGGGGAGCCUUCCUCUGACAGCCCAUUUUCAGCUUCUUACGCCGACCACCACUGCUGAUAUUUGGGCAGCAUGAUCACAGCGGUGUGCCAGGACCUUCCCUGCUGCCAGAGCGUGCACGGGAAGAGGGAGCAGGCAGGCUUCAGCCCCAGCCCCACUCAUCCUCCCCUUGGCAAGCAGGGAGCCGGGCUGGAAAGCCUCACCCGCUGCCUUCAUCAGCGCCAGGAGCACAAUAGCCCUUUAACGAUAAUUACAGGCUUGCGGCAGCUCUGCUGGUGCGCGGGGCUGGGGCUCUCUGGUAGCGAGAGGUGCUGUUUAAGUACUCGAAAGAAUGGCACUUAGCAGAUGUCUUGGGGUAAAUGGUAGGUUAAGCAACACCGAGAGCGCUGGUGGAACGAGAGCUAAUUUACACUCACAUGAUUCAAUUUGCAUGGUUAAUUCUAUUUAAAGCAAACAUCCAGCACCCGCUGGAGCUCCGGAAGGACCAUGGUUCUCAUUUUGUUCUCAUUUUGGUUCUCAUUUCUUCUCUGCAAUGCUUCUGAGAACAAAAUGGUUGGGUAAUGGAUCCAGCCAACAUGGAUGUGGUACGGGAGAAGUUUCCUGAAGGCGUUUCCCCUGGAGAGCAUCGUCUCUCUCUGCUAAUGUCACCAUGCAGACACCGCCCACUGCAGAACGUGCACUGCCACAACCUGAUGAGAUUCAGCAAGUGUCCUUCAGCCAUAUGAGAUCCAACCUAUUGCCCACAUCAAAUGUUCUCUCAGGAUAUGAAACUACCCACCAGCAUGGGCACAAAGCCCAGUGCCAGGGAGAAAUGCCAGAGAUGUCCAUAGGAGGAAGCAGUCUAGAGCAUUUUAGCAAUAAGUUAAUUACAUGGGUCAUGUUAUAUGUGGAAUUGGAAUAUCUUUAAUUUGUUCCUAAUUAAGAUUCUUGACAAUUUACCAUAGCACCAUGGCUCUUCGCCACCUGGAUUCUACUGUCCCUGUCUUGCCCCACAUGGCCUUUUCCCUGAGACUUUUGCCCUCCAGUCUGACACUGGAAGAAUGCAAAACACUGAUUCUGGUUGGUUCUUGGCAAUCAAUAUUGCUUCUUAACUGAACAAUAGCAGUUCUUCAUCACAACACUUGGAGUUCAGCAGAGAACAGAAGGCCUGUAAACGCCCUGGAUGAGCAGAAAAGCAUAAAUUACCUUGGAGAUAAUAAGCCAAACACAAACAGUAUUUACGGCUGGUUAGAGCGGCGGUGCUGAGCGUGCAGGGGAGCACACGGCGCUGCGAGCGGAAGGGGAAGGCGUUCGCACGUUAUUUCUUUUCAACUUGAGAAAUCUGAAAGCAAAACAUCAAAAGAGGUUUCCCAGCACUGUCCUACAGAACAUCCAUAUCAGCACAAGCUGUGGUUUUCCCUUCCUUUCACAAGGCAGAGGAAAAGCUCUGCUGUGUGAUGGGGGAAUCACAGGCAGCGAGCACUCAAAAGCAACGAUCAGAGGAAAUUUUUCACACACAAGCAACGGGGCUGAAAUCCGUCCAGCCGAGAACAAAUUUGUAAGAUUCCAAGCUGGCACCUGGGCUAUUUGUGAGCAGCAGAAGGAACCAAAGGCAGCAACUGAAUUGCUUUCUGCAAAGCAGCUCGUGUGGCUUGAGUAGCUCCCCAGUAUCACCAAGACUCCUGCAAAUUGCUAGGUAACUACGCUGAACAGAGCCAAAAAUAAUCCCUCCCGUGACUUGCUCUGACAGUGUUUGGAAGAGUGAAAUAACAGUGUUUGAGCACAGAACAGCGUGAUACCAGCUCUGCAGGGCAGCACCAAAGCAGCUCCAUCCAUGGCGCAUGAGGCACAUCUAUGGCAUUGGAGGUUGCUGGCAUGUCCAGGUCAUGCCAGGGGUCUGGGCUUCUCCAGGGUGGGAAGAGGGAAAGGGGAACACAUGGACUUUUCAGACAAUGGCAAAACAAAGGCAAAAAAAGGGGUUUUCCUGUUGCUCCCCAGGAGCAGAACCAAGCAAUGCUGGGAACAACCUGCAUCUUCUGACCACCAGUGACUCACGGGAAGUCCUUCCGAAAUACUGUGUGCACCAGGGAUAUAAAUAAUGCCCAGCCAGCUCUCA